RNAcentral lists this ribosomal RNA (230 nucleotides) under uncultured microorganism. Its description in RNAcentral is "partial 16S ribosomal RNA". It matches the Rfam family "Bacterial small subunit ribosomal RNA", at positions 524 to 753 of the family's 1533-position model. The record is from RNAcentral.
UACGGAGGGUGCAAGCGUUGUUCGGAAUUACUGGGCGUAAAGCGCGCGUAGGCGGUUUGUUAAGUCAGAUGUGAAAGCCCAUGGCUCAACCAUGGACGUGCAUUUGAUACUGACAGACUUGAGUCUCGGAGAGGUUGGCGGAAUUCCAGGUGUAGGAGUGAAAUCCGUAGAUAUCCGGAGGAACACCAGAGGCGAAAGCGGCCUCCUGGCACAUCACUGACGCUCAGACG